RNAcentral lists this unclassified non-coding RNA (239 nucleotides) under Hevea brasiliensis (rubber tree). Lineage: Eukaryota; Viridiplantae; Streptophyta; Magnoliopsida; Malpighiales; Euphorbiaceae. The record is from RNAcentral.
AUGCUGCAUAAAGUUCAAAAUCUUGAGUAACCCAGCACAGUAGAACAUAAUUUUCAUCCCUUCUGAACUGAGUUUUGUGCGGUCCAAUUUCCUUGUCAUGCAUGGAUGCAUAAAGCUUCUGGUAAGCUCUAUACAACCUUUUCUGCUGUUGUCUAUUAUUUACUGGUGAUGAAAACUCCGACGAGACAUACUGGUCAAGAUAAAUACUUCGAUACAUAAAAUGCCAAAGUCCAGCAGGA